RNAcentral lists this ribosomal RNA (449 nucleotides) under uncultured bacterium. Its description in RNAcentral is "bacterial SSU rRNA". It matches the Rfam family "Bacterial small subunit ribosomal RNA", at positions 354 to 796 of the family's 1533-position model. The record is from RNAcentral.
GUGGGGAAUCUUCCGCAAUGGGCGAAAGCCUGACGGAGCAACGCCGCGUGAUCGAAUGAAGGCCUUCGGGUUGUAAAGAUCUGUUGACAGGGACGAAUAAGCAAUGCGAAUAGUUUUGUGUAUGACGGUACCUGUUUAGAAAGCUCCGGCUAACUACGUGCCAGCAGCCGCGGUAAUACGUAGGGAGCAAGCGUUGUCCGGAAUUACUGGGCGUAAAGGGCGCGUAGGUGGGCGCUUAAGUCAGGUGUGAAAACUCCGGGCUCAACCUGGAGACUGCACUUGAAACUGGGUGUCUUGAGGGCAGGAGAGGAAAGUGGAAUUCCUAGUGUAGCGGUGAAAUGCGUAGAUAUUAGGAGGAACACCAGUGGCGAAGGCGACUUUCUGGACUGUACCUGACGCUGAGGCGCGAAAGCGUGGGUAGCGAACGGGAUUAGAUACCCUAGUAGUCC